UUCUCUCAACCUUUUUAGUAAAUAGCACAUUAGGCAAAACCGUACCCUUCAAACAGAAACCGCAUAAGUGGAUCCCGUAGAGUACUACGGAUGCGUAGGGGUGCUAAUACCUUCCCUUCGCAUAACCGACUCCCGAACCCAAGAUUUGGUUGCGAGACCUUGUCUUUUUCUUUCCUAUUUUCAGGUUUACUUCGAGCGUUUCCUUUCCCUCCUUUGGGAUAAAUAACGCACGGUGGCGACUCUCCUGUCUUUUUUCUUCGCCG
RNAcentral lists this long non-coding RNA (263 nucleotides) under Lathyrus oleraceus (garden pea). Its description in RNAcentral is "Pisum sativum (pea) long non-coding RNA (PSAT_LNC028860)". The record is from RNAcentral. Lineage: Eukaryota; Viridiplantae; Streptophyta; Magnoliopsida; Fabales; Fabaceae.